UCAGGUGUCACAGACUCAAUAGAGAAGCCGGUGCGAUGCCGGCGCGGUCCCGCCGCUGUAGGGUGGAGCCAGGCUGCAACGAUGUCACUGUACGAAGUAUGGGAAGGCGCAGCCAUGGCCAUGAAGCCAAGCCAGAAGAACUGCCUGACGGA
Molecule: non-coding RNA, 152 nt
Filed under: uncultured Megasphaera sp.
Lineage: Bacteria; Bacillati; Bacillota; Negativicutes; Veillonellales; Veillonellaceae
Source: RNAcentral